RNAcentral lists this ribosomal RNA (445 nucleotides) under uncultured bacterium. RNAcentral's name for it is "partial 16S ribosomal RNA". It matches the Rfam family "Bacterial small subunit ribosomal RNA", at positions 354 to 796 of the family's 1533-position model. The record is from RNAcentral.
GUGAGGAAUAUUGGUCAAUGGGCGAGAGCCUGAACCAGCCAAGUCGCGUGAAGGAAGAAGGAUCUAUGGUUCGUAAACUUCUUUUGCAGGGGAAUAAAGUGCGGGACGUGUCCUGUUUUGUAUGUACCCUGAGAAUAAGGAUCGGCUAACUCCGUGCCAGCAGCCGCGGUAAUACGGAGGAUCCGAGCGUUAUCCGGAUUUAUUGGGUUUAAAGGGUGCGUAGGUGGUUUGAUAAGUCAGCGGUGAAAGUUUGCAGCUUAACUGUAAAAAUGCCGUUGAAACUGUCGGACUUGAGUGUAAAUGAGGUAGGCGGAAUGCGUGGUGUAGCGGUGAAAUGCAUAGAUAUCACGAAGAACUCCGAUCGCGAAGGCAGCUUACUAAGCUACAACUGACACUGAAGCACGAAAGCGUGGGGAUCAAACAGGAUUAGAAACCACAGUAGUCC